UCCAGGUUACCCUGGCAGUCUAUUCAAAGUUCUCAACUAAAUGGUAGCAACUGAAUAUGAGGGUUGCGUUCGUUCUAGCACUUAAGCAUACGCUUCACAGCACGAACUGACGACGACCAUGCACCACCUGUGUCGGGAUAACCUCUGUUGAGUUUCUUCAACAUUGCCCUUCAUGUCAAGCCUUGGUAAGGUUUUGCGCGUUGUAUCGAAUUAAACCACAUGCUCCACCGCUUGUGCGAGUCCCCGUCAAUUCCUUUGAGUUUUAGCCUUGCGACCGUACUACCCAGGCGGAGCAUUUAAAGCGUUAGCUGCGACACUAAGCAUAACACCUAAUGUCUAAUGCUCAUCGUUUAGGGCGUGGACUAC
RNAcentral lists this unclassified non-coding RNA (366 nucleotides) under uncultured bacterium. Its description in RNAcentral is "contains 16S-23S intergenic spacer region". The record is from RNAcentral.